GAUCCUGUUCUUUCUCACGUCUCUCUGAGCCAGGUUAACUGUGCCAGGACCCAGGCUGGGCGCUGUUCGGAGGGAAUGAAGACACGUGUCCUGCAUGUGGACAAGGGUCAAAAUCCGUCAUACUUUCAAUCCUGGGUAUCAAGAAGCCACCUGGGAAUCUAAGUGACCUGUGCCUCAGUGGAUUCCUCUACUCCCUAUUCCCAUUCAGUUUGACACCUACCCAGAUGGUAUCAGGCGGAGUAAACAAGUCAAAGGAAUGAAAAUGAUUGAGCUAUGAAUAACCCUGUUGUUGAUGGGAGAACCUAGUCCUGAAAUGGUAUUACUCUAGAACUUUCUUCUAAUAGUGUUUCAUGUUCCUCUAUCUCCAACCUUUCUCUGCAGCAUUUUUAUAAACAUGAUCAAAUCUUGCUUGCCUUAAAAAAUAAAGCAAAUAAAAAUCAUCUCCUACCCAGCA
Non-coding RNA from Marmota flaviventris (yellow-bellied marmot), 454 nucleotides. Lineage: Eukaryota; Metazoa; Chordata; Mammalia; Rodentia; Sciuridae. The record is from RefSeq and is a predicted model, not a curated record.